Molecule: ribosomal RNA, 301 nt
Filed under: uncultured bacterium
Lineage: Bacteria
Description: partial 16S ribosomal RNA
Rfam family: Bacterial small subunit ribosomal RNA
Source: RNAcentral
CAGUCGCCGCGGUAAUACGGAGGGUGCAAGCGUUAAUCGGAAUUACUGGGCGUAAAGCGCACGCAGGCGGUCUGACAAGUCAGAUGUGAAAUCCCCGGGCUUAACCUGGGAACUGCAUUUGAAACUGUCAGGCUGGAGUCUUGUAGAGGGGGGUGGAAUUCCAGGUGUAGCGGUGAAAUGCGUAGAGAUCUGGAGGAAUACCGGUGGCGAAGGCGGCCCCCUGGACAAAGACUGACGCUCAGGUGCGAAAGCGUGGGGAGCAAACAGGAUUAGAUACCCGGGUAGUCCCUGUCUUUUAUAA